Molecule: unclassified non-coding RNA, 330 nt
Filed under: uncultured fungus
Lineage: Eukaryota; Fungi
Description: partial contains 5.8S ribosomal RNA and internal transcribed spacer 2
Rfam family: 5.8S ribosomal RNA (bases 1-133)
Source: RNAcentral
UGGUUCUGGCAUCGAUGAAGAACGCAGCGAAAUGCGAUAAGUAGUGUGAAUUGCAGAAUUUAGUGAAUCAUCGAAUCUUUGAACGCACAUUGCGCCCUUUGGUAUUCCUUAGGGCAUGCCUGUUCGAGCGUCAUUAACCGUAAUCAAGCCACGCUUGCUGUUGGGUGUUUAGUCCUGCGACGUGCCACGGCGUCGAGUUACGGACUCACCUCAAUCACAUUGGCGGUCCGUGUGUAGGCACCUGGCGCAGCACAUGUGCGCCUUCUGCUGGGCACGCCGGCGUCCAGAAGCUUCUUGGUCGACCUCGGAUCAGGUAGGGAUACCCGCUGA